UAAAAAUUUUAUUUAUGUUUAAAAAAUUAAUAUAAUAAUUUUAUUACAUGUAAAUUUUUGUCUUUUUUUUUAUAAUUUUUAGAUGGAAUAUAAAAUAAAUUAAGUUGUGCAGUAUUUUGAAUUAAAAAUUAAGGAAAUUUAGAUUUAAAAAUUUAUUUAAAUAUUAACAUAAUUUGUGCCAGCAGUUGCGGUUAUUCAAAUAAUAUAAUUAAUUUUUAUUAAUUUUAUAAUUAAUAGUAGAUUGAUAUUGAAAAUUAUAAUUUAUUAGGUGAAAUUUUAAAUUAUAGAAUUAUAUAUAUAUAAAUAAUGUAUGUAUGAGGUUAUUAAAUUUUAUAUUAAACUAGGAUUAGAUACCCUAUUAUAAAAAUGUAAAUAUAAAAAAUUUAAUUAUUAAUAGUUAUAGUCUUGAAAGUUAAAAAAUUUGGCGGUAUUUUAAUCUAUUUAGAGGAACCUGUUUUGUGAUUGAUAUUCCACGAUUAAAUAUACUUAUUUUAAUAGCUUAUAUAUCGUUGUAGUUAAAUAUUUUAAAAAAAUAUUAAUGUUUAAGAUUUUAUGAAUAAUAAAAAAAUAAAUCAGAUCAAGAUAUAGUUUAUAAAUAAGAUUUAAUGGGUUACAAUAAAUUUAAAUUUAUGGAAUUUAUUUUGAAAAAAUAAGUGAAAUUGGAUUUAAUAGUAAUUAGAUUAUUAUUGAUUUAAUGAUUAAGUUCUAAAAUAUGUACAUAUUGCCCGUCGCUCUCAUUUAAGUUGAGAUAAGUCGUAACAAAGUAAAUGUACUGGAAAGUGUAUUUAGGUAGGG
Molecule: non-coding RNA, 795 nt
Filed under: Staphylinidae sp. BMNH 1274633
Lineage: Eukaryota; Metazoa; Arthropoda; Insecta; Coleoptera; Staphylinidae
Source: RNAcentral